This 699-nucleotide ribosomal RNA is filed under the name uncultured beta proteobacterium. Its description in RNAcentral is "bacterial SSU rRNA". It matches the Rfam family "Bacterial small subunit ribosomal RNA", at positions 62 to 756 of the family's 1533-position model. The record is from RNAcentral. Lineage: Bacteria; Pseudomonadati; Pseudomonadota; Betaproteobacteria.
UCGAACGGCAGCACGGGAGCAAACCUGGUGGCGAGUGGCGAACGGGUGAGUAAUAUAUCGGAACGUGCCCAGUCGUGGGGGAUAACGUAGCGAAAGCUACGCUAAUACCGCAUACGAUCUAUGGAUGAAAGCGGGGGAUCGCAAGACCUCGCGCGAUUGGAGCGGCCGAUAUCAGAUUAGGUAGUUGGUGAGGUAAAGGCUCACCAAGCCGACGAUCUGUAGCUGGUCUGAGAGGACGACCAGCCACACUGGGACUGAGACACGGCCCAGACUCCUACGGGAGGCAGCAGUGGGGAAUUUUGGACAAUGGGCGCAAGCCUGAUCCAGCAAUGCCGCGUGCAGGAUGAAGGCCUUCGGGUUGUAAACUGCUUUUGUACGGAGCGAAAAGGCUCCCUCUAAUACAGGGGGCUCAUGACGGUACCGUAAGAAUAAGCACCGGCUAACUACGUGCCAGCAGCCGCGGUAAUACGUAGGGUGCGAGCGUUAAUCGGAAUUACUGGGCGUAAAGCGUGCGCAGGCGGUUAUGUAAGACAGAUGUGAAAUCCCCGGGCUCAACCUGGGAACUGCAUUUGUGACUGCAUAGCUAGAGUACGGCAGAGGGGGAUGGAAUUCCGCGUGUAGCAGUGAAAUGCGUAGAUAUGCGGAGGAACACCGAUGGCGAAGGCAAUCCCCUGGGCAUGUACUGACGCUCAUGCACGA